GAUGAACGCUGGCGGCGUGCUUAACACAUGCAAGUCGAACGAAGCACUUAAGAUUGAUUCUUCGGAUGACGUCUUUUGUGACUUAGUGGCGGACGGGUGAGUAACGCGUGGGUAACCUGCCUCACACAGGGGGAUAACAGUUAGAAAUGACUGCUAAUACCGCAUAACCCGAUAGGAUCGCAUGAUCCAGACGGAAAAGAUUUAUCGGUGUGAGAUGGACCCGCGUCUGAUUAGCUAGUUGGUGAGGUAACGGCCCACCAAGGCGACGAUCAGUAGCCGGCCUGAGAGGGUGAACGGCCACAUUGGGACUGAGACACGGCCCAAACUCCUACGGGAGGCAGCAGUGGGGAAUAUUGCACAAUGGGGGAAGCCCUGAUGCAGCGACGCCGCGUGAGUGAAGAAGUAUUUCGGUAUGUAAAGCUCUAUCAGCAGGGAAGAAAAUGACGGUACCUGACUAAGAAGCCCCGGCUAACUACGUG
RNAcentral lists this ribosomal RNA (479 nucleotides) under uncultured bacterium. Its description in RNAcentral is "partial 16S ribosomal RNA". It matches the Rfam family "Bacterial small subunit ribosomal RNA", at positions 28 to 507 of the family's 1533-position model. The record is from RNAcentral.